CAGCUCUCCGAGUGGUGUGGAUGUUUAUUGGGCCUAAAGCAUCCGUAGCUGGCUGGGCAAGUCCCCUGUUAAAUCCACCGAAUUAAUCGUUGGAGUGCGGAGGAUACUGCUCGGCUAGGGGACGGGAGAGGCCGACGGUAUUUUCGGGGUAGGGGUGAAAUCCUAUAAUCCCGGGAAGACCACCAGUGGCGAAGGCUGUCGGCUAGAACGCGCCCGACGGUGAGGGAUGAAAGCUGGGGGAGCGAACCGGAUUAGAUACCCGAGUAGUCC
Molecule: ribosomal RNA, 270 nt
Filed under: uncultured archaeon
Lineage: Archaea
Description: partial 16S ribosomal RNA
Rfam family: Archaeal small subunit ribosomal RNA
Source: RNAcentral